UGGAUGGUUUUAUAAGGAUCAUGGGGGGUUUGGCUAUUAUGGUCAAGCAACAUGUUCUAGGUACACUUUUAAACAAGUUAGCUACUUUGAGCAAUUUAGAUGUUUUCGGCUACAAAUAUUAUCAAGAACAUUGGUCCAUUUGGAGCUGAAGCUUGGACAUUUUUGCAUGAGAAGUUAUUUUCUAUAAAGAGAUGUUAAGAGGGAUUAG
RNAcentral lists this long non-coding RNA (208 nucleotides) under Vitis vinifera (wine grape). Its description in RNAcentral is "long non-coding RNA (VVIN_LNC004268)". The record is from RNAcentral. Lineage: Eukaryota; Viridiplantae; Streptophyta; Magnoliopsida; Vitales; Vitaceae.